Molecule: long non-coding RNA, 512 nt
Organism: Macrobrachium nipponense
Lineage: Eukaryota; Metazoa; Arthropoda; Malacostraca; Decapoda; Palaemonidae
Exons: 4
Source: RefSeq, a predicted model, not a curated record
GGGCGUGGUCGAGUUCCUGCCCGUUGGUGGCGACCUGGGAUUUGUUGGGGCAGACGAAGCCGUCGGCGAGAACUUCUGCAGGAGACGGAGGAAGAGGAAAGGGGCAUGAAGAAGAAAACCUGACAGACAUGAUUCAAUAGCCAAGACUGCAAUAUGCAAUAUAAAUCAGAAGUGGCGAAAAACCAAGAGCUCCCGUCAGCUUUUUGUGAAUCUUCGUCGAGUAUUCUUUCAUAUCAUGGUGCUUCGACUACACUACGCUGGACAGAUCAGACUGCCAAACUUCCUAUGUCCUUCUGUGUCUUACCUGAACUUGUCUGAAACUAUCAAGGAAAGUCUCUGUACCAUCGUCAUAUAUGUCCGAGGCUGCUGAGACCAACAUAUCAGUAUUUCUAAGGCAGCCAGUGAAGUCAGUCAGUGAUGGCAAGAGGGCUCUUUGACGCCGGUCGACCCUGAACUCGCAGGAGUAACGGUCGACCCGUUAUCUGACUCGACCAGCGUCGGCGACGGCGGCG